AAUAACUUUUUGGCUAUAAAUGUGUUAUGUUUGUAUUGUAUCUUCCAUACAACUACUAUCCGUAGCUAAUAUACAUAUUAAAAAGUCCAUAUAUUUCAAUCAAUAGUAGCUUUAUAAAAAGUCAUUGUAUAUGCAUAUUAACAACUUACAAAAAAGCACAACAUAAUUUUACCAACAGUAUCGAAAAAUCGCAAAACCUAUAUAGCAUUGUAACACGCCAAAUGCCGCUAUACU
This 234-nucleotide long non-coding RNA is filed under the name Ananas comosus (pineapple). Its description in RNAcentral is "long non-coding RNA (ACOM_LNC032533)". The record is from RNAcentral. Lineage: Eukaryota; Viridiplantae; Streptophyta; Magnoliopsida; Poales; Bromeliaceae.